This 109-nucleotide small RNA is filed under the name Salmonella enterica subsp. enterica serovar Infantis. RNAcentral describes it as "partial RtT sRNA". It matches the Rfam family "RtT RNA", at positions 17 to 130 of the family's 130-position model. From Rfam's summary of the family: This family represents a bacterial cis-regulatory element known as RtT RNA. The exact function of RtT is unknown although it is thought that it may be involved in changing the cellular response in relation to amino acid starvation. The record is from RNAcentral. Lineage: Bacteria; Pseudomonadati; Pseudomonadota; Gammaproteobacteria; Enterobacterales; Enterobacteriaceae. RNAcentral also lists the same sequence under 4 other names.
GAAGAUUCGAACCUGCCGCAGGUUCGGGUCUCACGUAGUGAGACAACGGAGCCGCUUGCGGCGACGGCCCGAAGGGCGAGCAAAGCGAGUCAUCCUGCACGACCCACCA